This is a long non-coding RNA of Tympanuchus pallidicinctus (lesser prairie-chicken), 1706 nucleotides long. RefSeq lists it as uncharacterized. The transcript has 7 exons. Lineage: Eukaryota; Metazoa; Chordata; Aves; Galliformes; Phasianidae. The record is from RefSeq and is a predicted model, not a curated record.
GCUUGAAAUUUAAGUCAAUUGUCUGGAUGAAAUGUGUAAAUCCCCAUAUAACAGACAUUUAUCUCUUUCCAGACUUUUCAGUGCUCUGUGCGAGAUGAAAGCAUGCAAAUGGAUAAUCUUUUCUGGAGAUGAUUCCAUAUUUUUACUCCACUAGGAAUAAUUUCCUGAGGUGUGGUGUUCAGCUGUGCACACACAGUGUAAACAAUAUGGGAUGCAAGUACUUGUGCUUAACUCCAGGCGUAUGACCACUCCAGUUAACAUUUGUAAGAAUUUCCACAGGCUUAAAGAUGGUUAUUCAAUCCAUGAAUUAUGGGAUAGUCUGUAUCCACAUUAUCCCAAGAGAAUCCUUCUGAAAGAAUGUGACCUCUUUGCUCUUGUAGCUUAAAGUAAGCAUUGUUAAAACCAACAGCAACAAAAAAAUCAAUUGUCAUACAUACAAUGGGAAGAGAAAGUGAAGACAACUCUGUUGAGUUACUAAUGGACGUAGUGAAAUUCAGUGUUGAAGCCAUGCGGCUGGAGAUCAUGCCAUGAAAUGAAUGCACUGAAAAGGCUGAAUAAAAACACUUCAAUUGUACAGUUUCUAUGGAAAUAAAUAAAAGGCAUUACUUUUGGAGCAAUCUACGUGGAUGGGCUUGUUAUUUGAAACUGGAUCAAGCUUAACCAAGAUGUUUUUGUGCAUCAGCAGCUUGUGUCAUGUGGACAGGCUGAGACACAUCAUGCUCAGAUUCAUGAAAAACCAUUGCUUUAGCCAAACUUCCUCUGGCGAUUCUGCAGAUCAAUGGUUGGGUGACAAGUUAGAAGAGGCAGUGCCCUUCAUUCUGAGAUAGUACUGAACUCGCAUUGUUCCUGUACAGCCUACAAGCAAAAGAUGGAGUGUCAGCCUUUACAUCACUGCUGUAUCACUGGAAGAAAAUCAGAAGUUGAGCAGUCCCUUGCUUUUCUUGAUUCAGAUGAUGUAGUGCAAGGUGAAGUUUCAAGUUCCAAACUGUUUCCUAUGAUCAAUGAGGAAAGAAAGCUUGUGGUGAAAGAACUGAGAGUGGAGAGAUAGCAGUUUAUCAGCAUUGGUCUGUUGUAAUGGAGUAUGUAUACUUGUGUGUUAUAGGUUUCCAGUUUUCCCACUGUGCUCUAAAAGCUGUAUUCAAAGUAGGGGAGCACUUUCCUCCAUUAUCAGUGAAUCUGCUUUUGACAUCCUGUUAAAGGCCUACGCAAAUAGUCUUCAAAGAGGAGUAAAUGAAAGACACUAGUGAAAAGCAAAGUAUGACCAAAGGGCAAAGAUCUGUCAAAAGCACUUUAUCUUUCUUUGUUAUUGAGACAUGGACAGAUGUUUGUUCAUAACAAAAUGCCUGAGUGUGGGAUUUUGAAAGCCCUGAUCAGGAACUGUAUUUAAUUGCUGUUAAGAGUGCAGCCAUGUCCUAGCCACAGCUUGGGUUGGUUGUCCUAAACUGCUGUUUGUGGGGAUCCUAGGAGUAGAGCAGAAGUGUAUAUGUUUUUGCUGAGAUAGGGCUGUCAGUUCAGAAACACACUGAACAUCUGCUUUGGUUGAGCCCUGCGGUUAAACUAGAUUAAAGCUCCGUAUUAAAAUGAUCAUCAGUCAAUCAGAAUGCUGCCUCGGUCUGAGAAACAUAACAUCACGCUCAGCAUUGCAGUUUCCAAAGAAGCUGUUGUGUUGCAGUAAAUUAAUAAAUAAAUAAAGAAAUAAACAGUGA